This 102-nucleotide microRNA precursor is filed under the name Pelobates cultripes (western spadefoot toad). Lineage: Eukaryota; Metazoa; Chordata; Amphibia; Anura; Pelobatidae. The record is from RNAcentral.
UGUUUGUAUAGUGUGUGUAUAUAAUGCAGUGUGUUUGUGUAGUGUGCAUUAUAUAAACACACUACGCAAAUACACUGCAUUAUAUACACACACUAUGCAAAC